Molecule: non-coding RNA, 168 nt
Filed under: Trichomalopsis sarcophagae
Lineage: Eukaryota; Metazoa; Arthropoda; Insecta; Hymenoptera; Pteromalidae
Description: Eukaryotic large subunit ribosomal RNA
Rfam family: Eukaryotic large subunit ribosomal RNA
Source: Rfam by way of RNAcentral
AAGCUAAUAACAAAGCGUUGCGAUAACCCUCGCGGGUGAUGACGUAAUGUGAUUUUUGCCCAGAGCUCUAAAUAUCAAAGUGAAGAAAUUCAAGCAAGCGUGGGUAAACGGAGGAAGUAACUAUGUUUCUCUUGGCUCUAAAGUGGCCUGGGCUGAACGCCUUUAAAU